ACUGGGCGCGGUGGCACGUGCCUGUAGUCCCAGCUAUUCGAGAGGCUGAGGCUAGAGAAUCUCUUGAGUCCAGGAGUUCUGGGCUGUAGUGUGCUAUGCCGAUCGGGUGUCUGCACUAAGUUCGGCAUCCAUAUGGUGACCUCCCGGGAGCGGGGGACCACCAGGUUGCCUAAGGAGGGGUCAACUGGCCCAGGUUGGAAAAAUAUGAAUCAUGGCUUGGUAUGGUGGCUCACGCCUGUAAUUCCAGCACUUCGGGAGGCUGAAGCAAGAAGAUUGCUUGAGCCCAGGAGUUCAAAACCAGCCUAGACAACAUAGGAGACCCCAUUUCUA
This is an unclassified non-coding RNA of Callithrix jacchus (white-tufted-ear marmoset), 330 nucleotides long. It matches the Rfam family "Metazoan signal recognition particle RNA". From Rfam's summary of the family: The signal recognition particle (SRP) is a universally conserved ribonucleoprotein. It is involved in the co-translational targeting of proteins to membranes. The eukaryotic SRP consists of a 300-nucleotide 7S RNA and six proteins: SRPs 72, 68, 54, 19, 14, and 9. The record is from Ensembl. NCBI's taxonomy places the organism in Eukaryota, Metazoa, Chordata, Mammalia, Primates, Cebidae.